AACGAACGCUGGCGGCAUGCCUAACACAUGCAAGUCGAACGAGACCUUCGGGUCUAGUGGCGCACGGGUGCGUAACGCGUUGGAACCUGCCCUUAGGUUCGGAAUAACUCCCCGAAAGGGGUGCUAAUACCGGAUAAUGUCUUCGGACCAAAGAUUUAUCGCCUUUGGAUGGGCCCGCGUUGGAUUAGCUAGUUGGUAGGGUAAAAGACUACCAAGGCGACGAUCCAUAGCUGGUCUGAGAGGAUGAUCAGCCACACUGGGACUGAGACACGGCCCAGACUCCUACGGGAGGCAGCAGUGGGGAAUAUUGGACAAUGGGCGAAAGCCUGAUACAGCAAUGCCGCGUGAGUGAUGAAGGCCUUAGGGUUGUAAAGCUCUUUUACCCGGGAUGAUAAUGACAGUACCGGGAGAAUAAGCUCCGGCUAACUCCGUG
Molecule: ribosomal RNA, 433 nt
Filed under: uncultured bacterium
Lineage: Bacteria
Description: partial 16S ribosomal RNA
Rfam family: Bacterial small subunit ribosomal RNA
Source: RNAcentral